GACGAACGCUGGCGGCGUGCCUAAUACAUGCAAGUCGAGCGAAGUUUUUCUGGUGCUUGCACCGGAAAAACUUAGCGGCGAACGGGUGAGUAACACGUAAAGAACCUGCCUCAUAGACUGGGACAACUAUUGGAAACGAUAGCUAAUACCGGAUAAUAGCAUUAACUGCAUGGUUGAUGUUUAAAAGUUGGCUUUGCUAACACUAUGAGAUGGCUUUGCGGUGCAUUAGCUAGUUGGUGGGGUAAAGGCCUACCAAGGCGACGAUGCAUAGCCGACCUGAGAGGGUGAUCGGCCACACUGGGACUGAGACACGGCCCAGACUCCUACGGGAGGCAGCAGUAGGGAAUCUUCCGCAAUGGGCGAAAGCCUGACGGAGCAACGCCGCGUGAGUGAAGAAGGAUUUCGGUUCGUAAAGCUCUGUUGUUAGGGAAGAAUGAUUGUGUAGUAACUAUACACAGUAGAGACGGUACCUAACCAGAAAGCCACGGCUAACUACGUG
Molecule: ribosomal RNA, 499 nt
Filed under: uncultured bacterium
Lineage: Bacteria
Description: partial 16S ribosomal RNA
Rfam family: Bacterial small subunit ribosomal RNA
Source: RNAcentral